ACGGAGGGUGCAAACGUUGCUCGGAAUCAUUGGGCGUAAAGCGCUCGUAGGCGGCCUGACAAGUCAGGUGUGAAAGCCCUCGGCUUAACCGAGGAAGUGCACUUGAAACUAUUGGGCUAGAGUACUGAAGAGGGUCUCGGAAUUCCCGGUGUAGAGGUGAGAUUCGUAGAUAUCGGGAGGAACACCAGUGGCGAAGGCGGAGACCUGGGCAGAUACUGACGCUGAGGAGCGAAAGCGUGGGGAGCAAACAGGA
Molecule: ribosomal RNA, 253 nt
Filed under: uncultured prokaryote
Description: partial 16S ribosomal RNA
Rfam family: Bacterial small subunit ribosomal RNA
Source: RNAcentral